CAACACGGUGUCCCUGCCUGUACAUCCAGUUUCAGAGUUGAUCUGCGAGAUUGAUGUACAAAACAUAUAGCGAGUCUUGACAUUUUUAAAGAAGUGCAGGGACAGAUGUCAGCGAUUGAACCGCCCCCCCCUCCCUCUGCCCCGCCUCUUCCCCUCCCUAUCAAAGGCCUGGGAGUGCCGGAGUACACAUCAAUCAUCCUGAGUGACAGAUGGUAUUACAUGGACUGUGCCUUCUAAAGUCGACUGCAAGAUGUUAUUCAGAUCUGACUACAUCCCAGUAUGUAACACCCACCAUUCAUUCAUUCAUUCUUUUUCUUUCGGCUAAGUUCCUUUAUUCA
Molecule: non-coding RNA, 338 nt
Organism: Danio rerio (zebrafish)
Lineage: Eukaryota; Metazoa; Chordata; Actinopteri; Cypriniformes; Danionidae
Source: RefSeq, a predicted model, not a curated record